AUGACGGCGGUCCGACGGUGCACCGACCUCUCCUCUCUCCCCUCCCCCGCUCCCCUCCUCUCCCGCCUCAGCUCCGCGGCCUCGCGUCUCCUCCAGAUCAGGAAGUACGGCUCGAGGAAGGAAGACGGCGGCGGUCUGCGGAAGGGGCGGUCCAGCUCCGCUUCAAGGCCAGGAUUCAUCGAUCCUUCAUCGUGGAAACAUUUUGACUCGAGAACCGUUGGAAUCCCCGUGGGCGCUAUACCUCGCAAUUGUAUGGCUGUUCUACAAAUGCUGAAACGAAAAGGAUUUGAAGCUUAUCUUGUUGGGGGAUGUGUGAGAGAUUUGCUACUCAAAAGGGCGCCUAAAGAUUUUGAUGUGAUCACCACUGCAAGUCUCAAAGAGAUUAAAAAACAUGUUUUCCCACGUUGUUUCAUCGUUGGCAAACGCUUUCCAAUAUGCCUUGUUAGAUGGCGUGGUUCAUUAUUUGAGGUUUCAAGCUUCAAAACAAAUACGACUCAAGUGAAAGGAAAUGAAAAUGUAAACUGCUCAGAAGAGACAGAUGGCCAUGAUGAGGUGGAUAUUCUUCGCUGGAAGGAUUCAUUGAGAAGAGACUUUACAGUAAACAGCCUAUUCUUUAAUCCAUUCAAUCACAGAGUUUAUGAUUAUGUGAAUGGAGUAAAGGAUCUAAGAAAAAACAAGGUGUGUACAGUGAUUCCUGCCCAUGUUUCUUUCAAGGAGGAUCCUGCCAGAAUUUUGCGUGGCUUGAGAGUUGCUGCUCGACUUGGCUUUCAGUUUUCCAGCGAAACUUCUACUGCAAUACGUGAUCUUUCUCCAUCCAUCAUAAAUAUCGACAAGACAAGGUUGGCUAUGGAAAUGAAAUAUAUGCUAUCUUAUGGGGCGGCAGAGUCUUCGAUUAGAUUACUUAGAAAAUAUGGACUUCUCGAUAUUUUGCUGCCUUUUCAGGCAGCAUAUUUGUCAGAUCAGUUAAAGGGCAAAUCUAGUGACAGAGGGUUGAUGCUCAUGAAUCUAUUGGCUAAUCUUGACAAGUUUUUCUCCGCUGACCGUCCAUGCCACUGCUCUUUGUGGCUAGCACUGUUGGCAUUUCACAAUGCAUUGAUAAAUUCUCCACAAGAUGCCCAGGUAAUCAAGGCUUUUGCUGCACUGAUGCAUUUUGGAACAUGGGACAGCGCCAUCGAGUUCCUGAACGAAGAUGUUGGAGCACCAGUUACAUAUGUCCCAGAAGCUUUUGGGCCUUCUGGGGCCAAAGUGGAUAAUCUUAUGGAACGGACAUCACAUCUAGCGUCACUAGUGAAAUCUUCGGUUGAUACGUUGACAUGUUUAAAUACUCUCAAACAAUCAGUGGUCAGAUAUCCGGGGGCAUCACAAUUUUCAGGACUUGUUUUUGUAUCAGUCAGGGAGAAGGGCAGAGUGUUGGGGAUAUUUAACGGCCUUGAUUCUGACCUAACUUCAUAUGACGAGAGAAGAGGGAUGCAUGGGAUUGACUAUAAGUUGCUGGAAGACGGAGUUACUGCCGAGGUCCGAUUUGUUCUCGGAAAAGUGAUCAUGGACACCAUGAGUGCUGAGUCACCGUGUGCAUCCACCGAUGAUGCUGCUGCUUUGCCAAGGCCAGCGGCGGAUGUUACUGAUGCAAACCAUUGUCUACUGUCCACGUUAUUUCAUAGUGGUGAAUCGGACUGA
RNAcentral lists this ribosomal RNA (1677 nucleotides) under Triticum aestivum (bread wheat). RNAcentral's name for it is "partial small subunit ribosomal RNA". The record is from RNAcentral. Lineage: Eukaryota; Viridiplantae; Streptophyta; Magnoliopsida; Poales; Poaceae.